GGAGAAAUGGCAGAUUGAAAUGUGUUUGAUUUGAAAUCAAUUGAUAAAGGUUGAAUUCCUUUUUUCUCUU
RNAcentral lists this transfer RNA (70 nucleotides) under Cercodemas anceps. Its description in RNAcentral is "tRNA-Ser". It matches the Rfam family "tRNA". From Rfam's summary of the family: Transfer RNA (tRNA) molecules are approximately 80 nucleotides in length. Their secondary structure includes four short double-helical elements and three loops (D, anti-codon, and T loops). Further hydrogen bonds mediate the characteristic L-shaped molecular structure. tRNAs have two regions of fundamental functional importance: the anti-codon, which is responsible for specific mRNA codon recognition, and the 3' end, to which the tRNAs corresponding amino acid is attached (by aminoacyl-tRNA synthetases). tRNAs cope with the degeneracy of the genetic code in two manners: having more than one tRNA (with a specific anti-codon) for a particular amino acid; and 'wobble' base-pairing, i.e. permitting non-standard base-pairing at the 3rd anti-codon position. The record is from RNAcentral. Lineage: Eukaryota; Metazoa; Echinodermata; Holothuroidea; Dendrochirotida; Cucumariidae.